This 283-nucleotide small RNA is filed under the name Candidatus Sedimenticola endophacoides. RNAcentral describes it as "5' ureB small RNA". It matches the Rfam family "5' ureB small RNA". Lineage: Bacteria; Pseudomonadati; Pseudomonadota; Gammaproteobacteria; Chromatiales; Sedimenticolaceae. The record is from Rfam by way of RNAcentral.
GCUUCGCUCUCCAUGGCGGUUAGCGGUGGAUAUGGGAGUCGAUACCGCCGGCGGUGAGGAUGCUCCCCUCCCCCGCGAUGGCCUCGGUACCCGGCCCCACCACGAUGUUCACACCGGGCUGCACGUCGGGAUUGCCCGCCUUGCCGAUGGCGGCGAUACGCCCACCCUUGAUACCCACGUCCGCCUUGACCACUCCCCAGUGGUCCAGGAUCAGGGCGUUGGUGAUCACCACGUCCAUCACCUCGGCGCUGGGCAACUGGCUCUGGCCCAUGCCGUCGCGAAU